Molecule: ribosomal RNA, 489 nt
Filed under: uncultured Glomus
Lineage: Eukaryota; Fungi; Glomeromycota; Glomeromycetes; Glomerales; Glomeraceae
Description: SSU rRNA
Rfam family: Eukaryotic small subunit ribosomal RNA
Source: RNAcentral
AGCAGCCGCGGUAAUUCCAGCUCCAAUAGCGUAUAUUAAAGUUGUUGCAGUUAAAAAGCUCGUAGUUGAAUUUCGGGAUCAAAUUGUCGGUCGUGCCUCGGUACGAACUGGUAUUAUUGGUUCCUACCUUCUGAAGAACCGCGAUGUCAUUAAUUUGGUGUCGUGGGGAAUCAGGACUGUUACUUUGAAAAAAUUAGAGUGUUUAAAGCAGGCUUACGCUUGAAUACAUUAGCAUGGAAUAAUGAAAUAGGACGUUUGAUUCUAUUUUGUUGGUUUCUAGGAUUGACGUAAUGAUUAAUAGGGAUAGUUGAGGGCAUUAGUAUUCAAUUGUCAGAGGUGAAAUUCUUGGAUUUAUUGAAGACUAACUACUGCGAAAGCAUUUGCCAAGGAUGUUUUCAUUAAUCAAGAACGAAAGUUAGGGGAUCGAAGACGAUCAGAUACCGUCGUAGUCUUAACCAUAAACUAUGCCGACUAGGGAUCGGAUGAUGU